Molecule: long non-coding RNA, 571 nt
Organism: Zophobas morio
Lineage: Eukaryota; Metazoa; Arthropoda; Insecta; Coleoptera; Tenebrionidae
Exons: 2
Source: RefSeq, a predicted model, not a curated record
CGUCGUGUGUCAGUGUCUACGCGUCAGGUGAUUACCACUUCGCUUCACUUGUUUGUUGUUGUCGGUCGUUUGAUGUGUUCGGUGUUUUCUGAGUUAUAUUAUAUAGAUUAUAUUAUCUCCUUAAAAUCAGUUCUUUUGAGAACUAUUGAGUUGGUUUGGCCUUUUAUUAUAAGCGUUCCUAACCUUUUGGAUUGCAACAUGCCCUCAAACAAGAAAAUUGGUGUUAAAGGGAAGGUAAUUCACUCCCAAGAGCGCGAAAUUAUCGCAAAUGUUUUGUGUUUCAUGAAAGAUGAGGCGGGGAAUGGCCAAAAAAUCCCAUUAAAAAAAUUCAGGGCGAUAGUUCUGGCAGCUACUAAAAUUGGCCGAAGUACCUACAAGAGAAUUCACAAAGAGGCUCUCGAUGUAGAAACAGGAAAAGUAUCUUAAUUUUCUAGUCCCAAAAAAUGUAGAAAACGUAGCAGUCCAAAGAGUGAUUUACACGAAGGUGAAAUAGAAGCGAUAUUUUUCCGAAUCGACACAAUAUUCACGCUGAUGAAUUUUGCUCACAUUAAAUAAAAUACAUGUAUCCACA